Non-coding RNA from Microcebus murinus (gray mouse lemur), 1488 nucleotides. The record is from RefSeq and is a predicted model, not a curated record. Lineage: Eukaryota; Metazoa; Chordata; Mammalia; Primates; Cheirogaleidae.
CGAUAACCUUCUCCCUCGGCCUGCACUUUCUCCUCGGCUCCGAACAUAACCGACUCCGCCUUUAAGAGGUUAAUACAAGUGAGAUAGAAGAAAUUGCCAAGUUGCUUUCCACAGCAGCUGAGCCAUUUUUGCAUUCCUACCAGCAAGAGCUGGGAUGAAGAUGUCCACAUUCUGGCUUCUACAUCAUAAUAUCAUGACAUCAACAUUUCAGAAUCCUAUGCCUUAGGCAGCUCUUUUUACUUUAUAUGCCUUUUUCCACGACUUCUGGGAAAAGAAUCCUCGUUCUAGGACUGCAUUGAUCAAUUCUCUCCUACCUCAGUUUCCUUUCACCAUAUGUAAAAUGAAAGACUCUUGAUCUCCAAAAAAAUCUUCCAAUUGUAACACUGUCUGCAUCUAUAAGAAGUAAAAUUAAUCAUCCUGUGUAUUGGAUGCAUGGAAUUUUUGUAUGAAGAAGGAAAGAAGUUUGGCUUCAGAAAGAUUCCAGAAGCAAUUGACUUGGUCCUUGGAAAAGAAAGGGGAGAUUUGGUGGAAACGAGUGAAGAGAGUUGGUUUCUCUCUGCUAUUACCUGAAGAAAGCUAAAAGCAGACAUUGGACAGUUGUCCUAGCUGCAUCUUUUAGGGUCCUGUCACUACUGGCAUUAAUAAUUCUGGGGUGGAGCCAAGAAUGGAGGAAAUAUACAUUGUGGUUGUUUGUGGUGAUUUCAUGAACAUGAAGCUCAUGCUGCUUACUGUGCUGUGGGCAAUAAAGUCCUUUGUCUCUGACUUGGGAGACUCGUUGUAUAGAAGGAGAAAAUGGGGAUCAGAAAUAUUAAAUACCUUGCAAAGAUCACAUAGCAAGCAAGUUGCACCGCUGGAUUCAGAACUGAAUUCUGUCUAACUCCAAGUAGGUUCUGCUCUACCAUGUCCAAGAUGAUACAGAGCAAAGGGCCAUCCUCAAGAGCACAGGCUCUCCUUUUCUACAUCAUUCUAUAAUGUCAAGAGAAACAGAAUAAAAAGAAAGAAUAAUCAGGGUCAAAAGACCAGAGGGCCCAACUCUGAUCUGUGCUGUGUGGCUGAUGAGGCCCCGGGCUCCAGAGUAUCUGACAAGACAUCAAUGGAAUCGAUGUGGCUAAAUUAAAAUGUGAAGAACAUACCAUGUUUUACACGCAGCUCUUGGGAGAGAGGAGACACAGCCAGCAGGAUCUCAAAAAGCAUGAAAAGACUGAGCUGGUCAGCAAAGCUCUGAAACUGGCAGACACGGGGGCCAGCAGAAAUUGAUGAGAAUCCAGACAUACAAAUAAGUAGAAAGAACAAGCAAAGCAGAGUUGAAUUUCUAAUUUUCUACACUAGCGCUACAAGAUAAUUGAAUGUAAGAGAAAGCACAACCAUGCAGACAAUGAGCAAGUAAAACUAACAGAUACACAUAUAAGUACUAAAUUGACAAGUCUUAUGAGAUGAGAAAGACAAGGGAGUGCUGAGAUAGAGAAUAAUAAAAAAGACCUAUUAUUA